RNAcentral lists this ribosomal RNA (388 nucleotides) under Biecheleria sp. RNAcentral's name for it is "partial small subunit ribosomal RNA". It matches the Rfam family "Eukaryotic small subunit ribosomal RNA", at positions 582 to 975 of the family's 1831-position model. The record is from RNAcentral. Lineage: Eukaryota; Dinophyceae; Suessiales; Biecheleriaceae.
AUUCCAGCUCCAAUAGCGUAUAUUAAAGUUGUUGCGGUUAAAAAGCUCGUAGUUGGAUUUCUGCCGAGGAUGACCGGUCCGCCCUGUGGGUGUGCAUCUGGCUCAGCCUUGGCAUCUUCCUGAAGAACGUAGCUGCACUUGACUGUGUGGUGCGGUAUUUAGGACAUUUACUUUGAGGAAAUUAGAGUGUUUCAAGCAAGCGCACGCUUUGAAUACAUUAGCAUGGAAUAAUAAGAUAGGACCUUGGUACUAUUUUGUUGGUUUGCGCACCAAGGUAAUGAUCAAUAGGGACAGUUGGGGGUAUUCGUAUUCAGUUGUCAGAGGUGAAAUUCUUAGAUUUAUUGAAGACGAACUACUGCGAAAGCAUUUACCAAGGAUGUUUUCAUCA